UCUGCAAAAGAUCUCAAGAGC
This 21-nucleotide non-coding RNA is filed under the name Arabidopsis thaliana (thale cress). Lineage: Eukaryota; Viridiplantae; Streptophyta; Magnoliopsida; Brassicales; Brassicaceae. The record is from RNAcentral.